CCCAUAUCUUCCUGCUCCGGGCUUCAGCACAGCCAGGCCAGCCUCCUACUGAAUGUCCUCUGCCCUCACAAGUCUGUCUCCUGGGUCUUUUCAGAUUUUCAGAAGAGCCGUUUGGAGCCCUUUAGAGUUAUGGUUUUGUGUAUGCGACAUGAAAUGGUAAUGCCAGCUGUCUCGGCACGUUGAAGGGAGGAGAACAAAAAUUGAGCAGGCUAUCUUGUCUCAUUUGCCUGGUCCGUCAUCACAAAGCCAACGAGUUGUUUAGUUACAAGCUCUCAGAAGGACCGUAAUAAGCGUGUUUGGUCCGUAGGCAGCAGGGUGCAGGCUGCCCGAGUCCCCCUCCUGUGUUAGAUGGAUGAUGCUGGUGGCGAGUGGACACACGCACCCUGCCUGAAUAUGAACAUCAGAUUUGUCAGCGUGUGACAGGCUGACAGCCCAGCUCCCAGCUGCUUGUCCACUGUGGUUAUAUCAGCACCUUGUCUGAGCCUUCAGCGAAGAGGCAGUCUGCUCCCUCCAUUCAUGGGAGGCAGGUUGCACUUAAAAAAAAAAAAGGAAGAAAAACCUAGUUCUGGCUUCAGGCUGCGUGUGCCACAACACAUUGAAAGGAGAUGAUUUAAACCUCUCUGUGCUCUUCCAGCCACACAUGGUCGGCCCUAGAAGUCCUGCCCUCCAGGUCUAAAAUCUGUUGAUUCAAAUGAGCAUGCCUUCUUGAAAGUCUAAAUCCACCAUAUUACCUCCCAAGAGACUAUGGUUGGGUACCCGCUGUAUGUGCAAAAGCUCCUUCUCCCAGAUGCAUAUGAACAUUGACCUCGGUCUGGCACGGGCUUUGUACUUCACACUCCAGGGUCUAUGAAAACACAGCGGAGGCCAGGGGAGCCACCAAGGGUCAGAACCAAGGCAGGCACGGUCGGGAUCCCCACACGAGCUGCAGAUGCCCAGUAACAAGUUUUCCUUGACUGCUGACGACUGAAUGCUGUUUUUCCUGUUCACAUUAUUUUCAAUUGGAUGCACUCUUUAGAGGUUUGUUUAUAUUUAUGCGUGUGCAUGUGCGUCUGUGUGUAUGUAUGUGCACCCAUGUUGGGAUGCUACCAGAGGCCACAAGAGGGAGUCAGAUGCCCUGGAGCUGGAGCCAUGGGCCUUUGUGAGCUGCCCGACAUGGGUGCUGGGAAUCAAGUUUGGGUGCCCUACAAGACUGCAAGCUCCAGCCCUGAAUGUAUUUUUAAAAACCUAAUCUCAUCCAGAGUCAUAGACACUUACUGCUGAAGGCAUGUACUCCUGUGGCUAGGAAAUUAGAGAACUUACUAAAUGUAUCUGUUGGCUGGAAAGUAAAAAAAAAAAAAAAAAAAAAAAAAGAGUUAACACCUCACUCAACCCUUCAGGCAGGAGUACACAAAGGGUUCCCCACUUCUUGAACCGCAAGAGGUACCUAGGUGCAAGGGCCUCCUUGUGCUAGAUGUGCGGCUUCAGUCAGUCCCUAGACCCUUCUAAGGUAGUUACUGUCAUCCCAGCACUCAGCAAAGGACUGGAAGAUUAGACCACACCCGCACAGCGUCAGGGACACACAUAGAGGUCACCGGGAAGAAUCGUAUGGCCUGUGUCUUCUGCAUCAUGUCAGAACAUAUCGUAGUGGCCGUGAGGAAACCUGUCACUCCCUAAGGAGUGGCUCCAGUCCCACCUAAGCAUGCAAUCUUCCCUGACUUUCUUAUUUUUAAAAAGUGUCUUUUGUUUCACAGGUGAUAAUUUACACACCUUUUCAUCACUGUCUCAUUAGAGCUGGGCAGCCUGUUGUCAUGGGCCACAGAGGGAAACUUCUCUUCCUGCUUCUCCAUAAAAUGAAGACACAUCUUAACCGUGAUGGUGUCUGUCUGAAACUCAAUGAAAUGAGGACCACACUCCUUUGCUACUUAGCAAUCUGGACAUGUCCCACAGUGUGGAUACAUGGCAGUAACAGUUCAUGUACAUUAAAUACCCAUGUGCUCCCCUACUGUGGGGAGAGUCUCUGUGACUCAGUGAGCCCGAGUGAUGGA
Rattus norvegicus (Norway rat) is the source of this 2024-nucleotide non-coding RNA. The record is from RefSeq and is a predicted model, not a curated record. Lineage: Eukaryota; Metazoa; Chordata; Mammalia; Rodentia; Muridae.